GUGUUCUCUUAAGGUUGACACAAUGCCUUAAGAGGCUAACACAAAAGGGUAAGGAAAAUCUCCAUAAAACCCAGAAAAGAGCUUUAAAACUCCUCUCUAGAUCUAUCUGCAGUCAUAGCU
This 120-nucleotide small nucleolar RNA is filed under the name Castor canadensis (American beaver). RNAcentral describes it as "Small nucleolar RNA SNORA26 (ENSCCNG00000011115.1)". It matches the Rfam family "Small nucleolar RNA SNORA26". Rfam says of the family: The snoRNA HBI-6 belong to the H/ACA family of snoRNAs, guiding the pseudouridylation of position U4522 if the 28S rRNA. HBI-6 is the human orthologue of mouse MBI-6 snoRNA. Lineage: Eukaryota; Metazoa; Chordata; Mammalia; Rodentia; Castoridae. The record is from Rfam by way of RNAcentral.